AUCCAGUCCUCCAUCAUGGGUGUAGGUGCAGUUCAUGCUUGGAACUGGCCUUGCCCCUUAGUAAUCUCACUGGUUGGAAAGGGGUAUAAAGUAGCAAAACAAAAAAGUAUGCUCGUGUUGUUACUGGUAGUGGUAUAUUGGCAAUGCCAUAUAAUUCAUGAAAAAGGAGUGACGUUUUUGACACAAGAUUUCAAUUAUGUAUAUUUUUACAAUACAGUAGAACCUCGGAUAACGACCACAAUCCAUUCCGAAAAGUGGGUCGUUAUCUGAAAUGUUUGCUAUCCGAAACAAUUUUCCCCAUAAGAAAUAAAGGAAAUAGAAAUAAUUGGUUCCCAGCCC
This 339-nucleotide long non-coding RNA is filed under the name Androctonus crassicauda. Lineage: Eukaryota; Metazoa; Arthropoda; Arachnida; Scorpiones; Buthidae. The record is from RNAcentral.